ACCCUACGGGGGGCAGCAGUGGGGGAUAUUGCACAAUGGGGGGAACCCUGAUGCAGCGACGCCGCGUGGGUGAAGGAGCGUUUCGGCGCGUAAAGCCCUAUCGGCAGGGAAGAAGGAGGACGGUACCUGACUAAGAAGCCCCGGCUAACUACGUGCCAGCAGCCGCGGUAAUACGUAGGGGGCAAGCGUUAUCCGGAUUUACUGGGUGUAAAGGGAGCGCAGACGGCAGGGCAAGUCUGAUGUGAAAGUCCGGGGCUCAACCCCGGGACUGCAUUGGAAACUGUCCGGCUAGAGUGCAGGAGAGG
RNAcentral lists this ribosomal RNA (305 nucleotides) under uncultured bacterium. RNAcentral's name for it is "bacterial SSU rRNA". It matches the Rfam family "Bacterial small subunit ribosomal RNA", at positions 335 to 657 of the family's 1533-position model. The record is from RNAcentral.